UCCAAGACUUACCCCCCGCCCCCCCUGCUCCCUGUUCAGAGCACCAGGACAGGCAGCUGUAAGUAGUGCAUUCCUAUGGGGAGCAAUUUAAUAUACAACACCAGCGGCUCUCGCAGGAGCUCGUAGCCCCACCACCCAGAGUGCUGGCGGCACGGUGAGCUGAAGCUGCGGGGGAGGGGGGCUAAGCUCUCCAGCUGGGAGCUCAAGGGCCGCGCAGGACGGUCCCGUGGGCUGUAGUUUGCCCACCUCUAGUCUAAAUGAUGCACUCUGCCACAGAUGGCCAGUCUGUGACAGAUCACUGACAGCAGUUCUUAAUUUACACUUUACAUUUUACAUAGGUAAAUUACAAUGAAAACACAUACACACAUCUUAAGCAUAUACCUACUAAUACUAAACUACACUUAUGCUCUACUAUAAUUAAAACUAACAGGCCUACACUAUUGAUUCCACUGUGUUGUCAGCUGCUGCUGGGUCAGCUCUGGUUACCUGCCAGUUUAGAAUGUUCCUUUGAAAUUCUCUCUCUCCUUUUCUCUACCUAGCAGUCCUUCCAGCAGCUCUUCUCGUUGGCUCAUGACUUUGUCUGCUGAUCGUCUCCCUUUUAUACUGUCCUAUUCAAACUUUCUUUUGUACUAUCUAUUUUUAACCUCUGCUGAGCAUGCUCAUCAUCAAACAUUCCCUCAUCCUUAGCUACCAGGAGAAGUAGCCCCAAGCUAGCCCAGACUGGCGCUGCUUGACUGUUCCUUAUCCUUAUACUGCACAUGCUCACUUGCAUUAUUUCUACAUUAGAGACACAAUCACUUCAUUCGACCUUAGUGCCCAGACUCCAGAUCUAGCCUACUUUGUGGCCAUACCUUAUUUUACUCUCAGGUCUGGUCAUGUGACUUACAAUGUUUAAUGGUAAAUGACCUGCGGCUUACAGUUGGUGAAAUGACUCCUGCUUAUUCCAGAAGGAAGCCAGAGACACCGAACUGGGGGGUAGGAAUACAAAAUGGAAUCUCGGGGAAUUUUUUGGUAUCAAAGAAUUGGCAGGACGAUUCCUCCCAUCCCCACGGGCUCACCAAUCUGUGUUAGAGCCUCUCUCACAUCAUUUAAAUGGUGCUGAGGCCUGAAUUGUAAACUCUGCUUUACACUAGUGUAGCUGGGCCUCAGCUCUAAGUAACUCAGGGACUAGGAAAGAUUUGCAAACACUGCUUUUAAGUGUGAGUGCUCUCCUGUCACUGAGCCAAUUCCUCCAGCAGCUUCUGCUCUACAAAUUAAACUCAGUGAUCUAGUGAGGUGCUCUCACAGCAGAGACAAGAGGCUGUGAGAUCUCUUCCUGCAUGUGAUUCCUGGGAAUGGAGGGAAGGGAAUCCAAGCAGAGGACAGCAUCUGAACCAAGUGCAAGGAGGACAAGGACCUGUGGGGGUGAAUGUAGUAAGUGCUGGCACCAGUCAGCCAUGGAGAAUCAUCCCAUGAAGAGGUUGGGGAGGCCAACAGCAAGAGUUGAAGGCAAUAGGCAUGUGCAAAAAGAUCCUAUAGUGAGAGUGGCUGGACUGAUUAGAAAGGGAUAUGAUAAAGGGAAAGAGGAGAGAUGGGCAUGAUGGAGGGAGGAUGGUGCAGAAAAGAUGGUGGAGGAUCAGUGGCAGGAAGAAGGAGGAGGGAUGGUCCAAUGUUUAGGGCAUUAGCGUGGGAGUCAGGAGACUAGAGCACAAAAGGAUCCAUCUAGUUCAGGAUCCUGUCUCCAGGCGGGGCCAGUACCAGCUGCUUCAGAGGAAGGUGCAAGGAACAUGAAAUGGGACAUGUCACCUUUACCAAAGCGCUCUGGCCCCAUGUACAGCAAAUGUAUGGUUUGACACAACCCUUCUCGAGAACGAAGGGAUUGUGGGACUGGCAGUCGGGAAAAGGGGGAGGGACAUGGGCACAUGGGAAUUGUAGUGGGGCUGCAGUGUAUGCUGGGAAAGGGAAAUAAAAGAGUUCUGUAUUGCCCAGGGUGGGGGGAUGGACGGCUUGUGUUGUGCUUGGAGUAGAUGCUCAUAGUGGUCUCUUCUGGCCUUACGAUCUCUGAGAUCAGACUUGUAUGGGCCUUGCCACAGAGAGAAAGAAAGAAACAUGGAGAACACGGAAAUGGCUGGUGGGUCUCUGGGACAGAGUGGAGGCCGUGGCUAAAGGUGGCUUGGGAGGGAGGAACCCCAGGACAAGGGAGUUCAUUUACCAGAGAGUUUGUUCAGAGAGCUUUUCAGAGGGUGAAGAAAUCGAUGCUGAACAUUGGCACAGGGCUUGAAGGAAGCCUAGGGUGAGCAUCUGCUUCCUGUCAUGCUGUUGUGGAGGGCUUUGUGGGUCAGGGUGGGAGAUAGCUGAGACCUGAGGGAAGGCUGUGGCUCCAUGCAGGUGCAGUUGACUUACUGGAGCUCUUGGUGUUUGGACUCUCACUGAACUUGUUUGCUCUAGAAGGGCUGGUGUUUUCCUAACUUAGAGGCAGAGAUAAGUUAGACUAUUCAACCAGGUGAGAGAGAAGUCAAGGCAGAGUUGGAAGAGGAAACUGAGACAAUUGCUGUAUAACCAGGUGUGAUAAAAGAAGGUGGUAUUGAGCAAUUCUGGACAUGGACUGGAGAAAUUCACAGUGAAACCAGUGGAAAUUCCUUAAUUUUCCACUCCCCCCUGUAAAACAAGCAGUCACACUGGUUUAACAACAUAUGGUUAAAUGGCUACAAGUCUGUGUAUAGGAGAAAUACGUAAGGAGGGUAACUUGGGGGUACUUGCAUUUACCACCAAGUGACAAUAAGGUCCCUCAAAGGAGUUGGCUGAUGAGGAUGCUCCGGCUGCCUGCAGGGCACCCUUCUACCUCUAUUUGAGUCCAUAUGGCUGAAAUCUGGUUUGCUUACAUGCCUCUGUGUACAGGGCAUGUGAACUGUUUCCAUUCUCAAAAAGAAAAGGAGUACUUGUGGCACCUUAGAGACUAACAAAUUUAUUAGAGCAUAAGCUUUCGUGAGCUACAGCUCACUUCAUCGGAUGCAU
Long non-coding RNA from Dermochelys coriacea (leatherback sea turtle), 2994 nucleotides. RefSeq lists it as uncharacterized. The transcript has 3 exons. Lineage: Eukaryota; Metazoa; Chordata; Testudines; Dermochelyidae. The record is from RefSeq and is a predicted model, not a curated record.